GGGCUUGACCGGUUUUGACAGCGGGUAGAAGUGGUUUGUAAGCAGGCAGUGUGUCGUUGUCCGACACUUUAAUCACGGAUGAUAACUAUUAAUUGGCGAAAAUACUUACGCUCUCGCUGCUUAAUCGAAGUACAGUAGAUUUCAAGCUUUAUUCCGGCUCAAGGUAGUUGGAUCGAGACAUCGCCCGGAGCUGUGGCUUCGAAGCUAACCGAUAAGGCGGUGCAGGAAUAUCGGAGAUAGUCCGGCGGAAAUCCCGGCCGACGGAUGAAAUUCAGGGAAUAAGCUCAAUAUUGGUAGCUUCAGUCUUGUGUUGAGUCGAAAAGUAAAGUGAAGAUAAGCCUGUAGAAAGCAAAUUAGUUCCUCGUUUGGACGAGGGUUCGAAUCCCUCCAGGUCCACUU
This 399-nucleotide transfer-messenger RNA is filed under the name Dysgonamonadaceae bacterium. It matches the Rfam family "transfer-messenger RNA". Rfam says of the family: Bacterial tmRNA, also known as 10Sa RNA or SsrA, is named for its dual tRNA and mRNA-like properties. Lineage: Bacteria; Pseudomonadati; Bacteroidota; Bacteroidia; Bacteroidales; Dysgonomonadaceae. The record is from RNAcentral.